RNAcentral lists this transfer RNA (84 nucleotides) under Cyanobium sp. RNAcentral describes it as "tRNA-Leu". It matches the Rfam family "tRNA". From Rfam's summary of the family: Transfer RNA (tRNA) molecules are approximately 80 nucleotides in length. RNAcentral also lists the same sequence under 4 other names. The record is from RNAcentral. Lineage: Bacteria; Bacillati; Cyanobacteriota; Cyanophyceae; Synechococcales; Prochlorococcaceae.
GGGGGCAUGGCGAAAUCGGUAGACGCAGCGGACUUAAAAUCCGCAGGUGGCAACACUGUGGGGGUUCAAGUCCCCCUGCCCCCA